UACGGAGGGGGCUAGCGUUGUUCGGAAUUACUGGGCGUAAAGGGCUCGUAGGCGGCCAACUAAGUCGGACGUGAAAUCCCCAGGCUCAACCUGGGAACUGCGUCCGAUACUGGAUGGCUUGAAUCCGGGAGAGGGAUGCAGAAUUCCAGGUGUAGCGGUGAAAUGCGUAGAUAUCUGGAGGAAUACCGGUGGCGAAGGCGGCAUCCUGGACCGGCAUUGACGCUGAUGAGCGAAAGCUAGGGGAGCAAACGGG
RNAcentral lists this ribosomal RNA (253 nucleotides) under uncultured bacterium. Its description in RNAcentral is "partial 16S ribosomal RNA". It matches the Rfam family "Bacterial small subunit ribosomal RNA", at positions 524 to 776 of the family's 1533-position model. The record is from RNAcentral.